AUCUUCUUCUCCUCACCUCCCCUUCCCUGUAGCGUGGCCGAGCUCCUCUCCGGUCCGUGACUGAGUGUGCAUUUUUAGUCAGUCCAGCCGGGUCGCGGACCGGAGAGGAGCUCGGCCACGCUACAGGGAAGGGGUGGUGGGGAGAAGAAGAU
Molecule: non-coding RNA, 152 nt
Organism: Pelobates cultripes (western spadefoot toad)
Lineage: Eukaryota; Metazoa; Chordata; Amphibia; Anura; Pelobatidae
Source: the annotation of a GenBank genome assembly